This 497-nucleotide ribosomal RNA is filed under the name uncultured bacterium. Its description in RNAcentral is "partial 16S ribosomal RNA". It matches the Rfam family "Bacterial small subunit ribosomal RNA", at positions 28 to 507 of the family's 1533-position model. The record is from RNAcentral.
GAUGAACGCUGGCGGCGUGCCUAAUACAUGCAAGUCGAGCGAACGGACGAUAAGCUUGCUUCCCUGAUGUUAGCGGCGGACGGGUGAGUAACACGUGGAUAACCUACCUCUAAUACUGGGAUAACUUCGGAAAACCAGAGCUAAUAACGGAUAAUAUUUUGAACCGCAUGAUUCAAAAGUGAAUGACGGUUUUCCUGUCACUUAUAGAUGAAUCCGCGCUGCAUUAGCUAGUUGGUAAGGUAACGGCUUACCAAGGCAACGAUGCAUAGCCGACCUGAGAGGGUGAUCGGCCACACUGGAACUGAGACACGGUCCAGACUCCUACGGGAGGCAGCAGUAGGGAAUCUUCCGCAAUGGGCGAAAGCCUGACGGAGCAACGCCGCGUGAGUGAUGAAGGUCUUCGGAUCGUAAAACUCUGUUAUUGGGGAAGAACAUAUGUGUAAGUAACUGUGGACAUCUUGACGGUACCUAAUCAGAAAGCCCCGGCUAACUACGUG